Molecule: microRNA precursor, 84 nt
Filed under: Macacine gammaherpesvirus 4 (Rhesus lymphocryptovirus)
Lineage: Duplodnaviria; Heunggongvirae; Peploviricota; Herviviricetes; Herpesvirales; Orthoherpesviridae
Description: microRNA rlcv-mir-rL1 precursor (rlcv-mir-rL1-10)
Gene: rlcv-mir-rL1-10
Source: miRBase by way of RNAcentral
GUGGUCCUCUGACAUCGGGUUUCCGCUGUACUUGCAUAAUGAGAACUUUGUAGUGCGCCGGUGACCUGAUAGCAGCGGUCUCAC